Brassica oleracea var. oleracea is the source of this 1546-nucleotide long non-coding RNA. RefSeq lists it as uncharacterized. The transcript has 10 exons. The record is from RefSeq and is a predicted model, not a curated record. NCBI's taxonomy places the organism in Eukaryota, Viridiplantae, Streptophyta, Magnoliopsida, Brassicales, Brassicaceae.
UCCUUCGGCUCUCUGGAAAAUAGAAAUUGUUACGAAAAUCCUGCCAUCACUUUUUAUUUGCACCGUCAAUCUCUCUUCGUAUUCUUCCCUUAGAUCCAAUGUUUCAAACAAAUACAUAACUUCAAAAAUUUAAGAUUCAAUCACCAAGCCAACGGGCCAAGCAGUUUCCUUCCUCUUCCGCCAUCUCGGCGCUAAUCAGUAAGGAUUCGAUCAGUGCGAAGAAACGAAGCAUUGGAUUUGGGGUCAGCAGGUGUGCAAGCUUCUAUGCGCCUCCCCUAAUCAAUCAGUGUCUAACAAAGAGAUCUCGAACUGGAUUAUGUAUGAAUUCGUUGGUCUUCUAGGAUUUCGUGUGAGAUUACUUGAAAUCAAUCAAGUAUUGGAAUCAAUCCGUCAAGCUUUUCACCACCAGGUUCAUAUCUUUCUCCCUCACGACUCCCAUUUAAUCUUAACCCAAAUUUUUUCAUGCUUAAAUUGGAGCUGUUUGGUACAUGUGUGGUUGUGGAGCUGCAUAAACUGGAUAAAGAUUAUUCCGAGUCGCUCAGAUGCUUAGUACAACCACGUAAUCUUCCCUUCCCUUUCUCCCUAUCUUAUUUUGUUAUAAUGGGUAAGGUCAAGUGAUGGUGGCGGUGGAAUCUGUGAUUCCUCCGAUCGUCGGAAUAUACGUCCCCCCCAUCUUCCCAACUCUGUAGCGAGUUUUGAAUGCUUCACUGGACUGAUGGUGUUCUCCAAGUUCAUAGCCUGCAGUGAAUGUCAAACAAAAGUAACCCGAGUAGCCACAUCAUAGGUCUGCCUAUAAAUGCAAUAACCACAACACCAUAGGAGUUGUCAAUGCUGCUGAAGAAUCAGAGAAGGGUUGUAAGAAAGACAAAUUCAUCCAAACCAGAUUACAUGCUUUUUGGAAUAUGGAACUAGGGAGACAGCUGAGAAUGCGGUUAGUGUCAAAUAAAAGUUACCCGACAGACUGGAGAAAUGGGUUGCGUGUUAAGCUUCUUGAACAUGCAAGAAAGUUUGCACGGAGAAUACUAACUAUGAAGGAAGUAGAUCCAGAGAAGGACAAUACAGGCCGAGUGCAUGGUCAAACUAAAGGUGAGGAGAACAAAAACUCAAAUGAACAUCAUCAUCACCGUCACCAUCAUCCUGAUACUUCAGUUGAUAUCUGAUGGCUUUAAGCUGUUUAAAAUCAUCUAUCACGGUCCCAACAGCUGUUCUUCUUCUAGGAGGCUGCCUCUUCGCCUAAUACUGAAUAUAACGACUCUGGUAGCAAGGGAUCUCUCUUUGGGGGUUUGACUGGCUCUAUCCUUACGGCAUCUGUAUGAUCUCUCUCUAUUCUUAUUCGUUAUUUCCAGUUUCUUUAUAGCCAUUUAUUCUCCUUGGAUGAAAUGUCUAAGAAACUAAUGCACUGUUCAAAAAUUUUGUUUGUGCUUAAUGUUCUUCUCCUCGAAGCUUUAUUUUAGUUCCUUGAGAAAAUGAUGUUGUGUGUCUCUUUAGGGAGGCCUCGGAUACUAUCUUCACAUUUGAUAUGCUAAAAUCUUUUGUUACUGUGGCA